GACGAACGCUGGCGGCGUGCUUAACACAUGCAAGUCGAACGGAAAGGCCCUGCUUUUGUGGGGUGCUCGAGUGGCGAACGGGUGAGUAACACGUGAGUAACCUGCCCUUGACUUUGGGAUAACUUCAGGAAACUGGGGCUAAUACCGGAUAGGAGCUCCUGCUGCAUGGUGGGGGUUGGAAAGUUUCGGCGGUUGGGGAUGGACUCGCGGCUUAUCAGCUUGUUGGUGGGGUAGUGGCUUACCAAGGCUUUGACGGGUAGCCGGCCUGAGAGGGUGACCGGCCACAUGGGAACGGGGUUACGGCCCAGACUCCUACGGGGGGAAGAAGUGGGGAAUAUUGCACAAGGGGCGGAGGCCGGAUGCAGCAACGCCGCGUGCGGGAUGACGGCCUUCGGGUGGUAAACCGCUUUCGCCUGUGACGAAGCGUGAGUGACGGUAAUGGGAAAAGAAGCACCGGCUAACUACGU
This 467-nucleotide ribosomal RNA is filed under the name uncultured bacterium. Its description in RNAcentral is "partial 16S ribosomal RNA". It matches the Rfam family "Bacterial small subunit ribosomal RNA", at positions 28 to 506 of the family's 1533-position model. The record is from RNAcentral.